CGGAUUUAUUGGGCGUAAAGAGCUCGUAGGUGGGUCGGUAAGUCGGGUGUGAAACCUCCAGGCUCAACCUGGAGACACCACCCGAUACUGCUGUGACUAGAGUCCAGUAGGGGAGCGUGGAAUUCCUGGUGUAGCGGUGAAAUGCGCAGAUAUCAGGAGGAACACCAGUGGCGAAGGCGGCGCUCUGGGCUGGAACUGACACUGAGGAGCGAAAGCGUGGGGAGCGAACAGG
This 232-nucleotide ribosomal RNA is filed under the name uncultured bacterium. Its description in RNAcentral is "partial 16S ribosomal RNA". It matches the Rfam family "Bacterial small subunit ribosomal RNA", at positions 546 to 776 of the family's 1533-position model. The record is from RNAcentral.